RNAcentral lists this ribosomal RNA (492 nucleotides) under uncultured bacterium. RNAcentral describes it as "partial 16S ribosomal RNA". It matches the Rfam family "Bacterial small subunit ribosomal RNA", at positions 29 to 507 of the family's 1533-position model. The record is from RNAcentral.
AGUGAACGCUGGCGGUAGGCCUAACACAUGCAAGUCGAACGGCAGCACAGUAAGAGCUUGCUCUUACGGGUGGCGAGUGGCGGACGGGUGAGGAAUACAUCGGAAUCUACUUUUUCGUGGGGGAUAACGUAGGGAAACUUACGCUAAUACCGCAUACGACCUACGGGUGAAAGCAGGGGAUCUUCGGACCUUGCGCGAUUGAAUGAGCCGAUGUCGGAUUAGCUAGUUGGCGGGGUAAAGGCCCACCAAGGCGACGAUCCGUAGCUGGUCUGAGAGGAUGAUCAGCCACACUGGAACUGGGACACGGUCCAGACUCCUACGGGAGGCAGCAGUGGGGAAUAUUGGACAAUGGGCGCAAGCCUGAUCCAGCCAUACCGCGUGGGUGGAGAAGGCCUUCGGGUUGUAAAGCCCUUUUGUUGGGAAAGAAAAGCAGCAGGUUAAUACCCCGCUGUUCUGACGGUACCCAAAGAAUAAGCACCGGCUAACUUCGUG